Gossypium raimondii (Peruvian cotton) is the source of this 1652-nucleotide long non-coding RNA. RefSeq lists it as uncharacterized. The transcript is spliced from 4 exons. The record is from RefSeq and is a predicted model, not a curated record. Lineage: Eukaryota; Viridiplantae; Streptophyta; Magnoliopsida; Malvales; Malvaceae.
AAAAGCAAACCCUAAAAAUUAACUACAUCCUAAUUUCUAGAAAAAAAAAUCCAGUAGUUUCUCCGCAAUCCACUCUUUCAUCUACCACCAUCGUUCCACCUUGGAAUGAUCUGUACUUUUAGCGUCCUCGAUGGAAGUUCUUGUAGAAAAAAGAAACCGUCGAAAUCUUUCAUUUUUCAUUUUUUUGACCCAUUUCAAACCCUGUUCAAAAUUUUUUUGUCCCUUUUAGCUGCUAACUCUACCCUUUGAGGGCUUCAUCAAUCCAUACCUUUGUUUCUGGCCAGUUCUUCCCUUCCUCUGCCAUCACACGUGCCGCUUGGUUCACUGUUCACCCAACGAAAGAGCAUGUAACAUUUUCGAAUGUCCAACAUCUUUCUUUUAUUUCUUGAAUAAUCACUGCAAUACUUGAUUUAUCCUUUUCUAAUGACCAGAUUUUUUUGAUUACUAUCAACUCCUUCCACUAUCAUAUUUUGAAAACUUAGCUACUCAGCCACCGAAGCUGCCUAAAGACAUUCUUUCACCUCCACCAUGGUGGCAUCUAUUAUAAAGGUGUUGUGGUCUUGGAAUCCACGCCUCAUUUCAAACGUUGAUGGAUUUUUCAUUACCAACCCUUAAACCCAGGCCCUCCUCUAGGAGUCCUAUUGCGCUCCAUAUGCUCCACUAGGUAUAAGAUGGUUGAUUGAGGUGUAGUAGCAGGUUCAGUUGGUGUAGAAAUAUGGUUCACUUCUUCUCUUUCCUGGAGGUCCAUUGGAGACAUGAUUUAAAUAAAUAAAAGAUGGCCAUGCACAAAUUAUCCAUGUGGACGGCAAGACCAUGCAAUUUUGGGCAUGAAGUUGACUAUUUGACCCAGUAAAGAAGGUGAUAAAAGAUGGACAUGUCUGCUAAGUUAUUGGACUGAAAAAACCAUCCAACAAGGGGAAUUAAAAGCCCAAUUUUGGCACUUGAUGUUGGCUUUCCAAAAUUUAUUUUAGGAUAUUUAAUUGAAGGUCCUUACAAUUGGAAAAAAAAUUAGAAUUCAGCCCAACAAUUUCCCUGUUGGAACCAUCCACUCUAUAGCUAUUUUUAGCUUGAAAUUCGAAUUCAAAUUGAGAAGACUUGGUCAUCCCUUUUCCUUGAAGCAUGACCGACCACAUGAGAGAGGGAAGGAAAGAAAUUUAAACCUAUUUUUAGUAAACUCAAACCUUUACUUUCACCUAUAAAUACCUUGCCAUUCAUCACUUUUCCAUCAUCCCUCAUUUCUCAACAUUACUCUCUCACUCACUCUAGUUUUCUCUAAAUUCUUUUUCCCUUUUUCCCUUGCAUAGCCGUCCAUCCCCUCUCCCUUCUUUAGGCUCAAAAGCUUUGUCAAAAGCACUCUUUAGCCGGCUAUCUUCUAAACCCUUAGCAAAAGAAGCUUCAAUCAGAACGGAGGAGCGCUUCAGUCAAAAUAGAUAGAAUAGAUCCGAAAGGCUGCUGAACUGAGCAGAGUUGAGCACAUUAGUCAGAGUAGAUUUGAAAGGCUGUUGAACUGAGUCUACUAUUUCCUCUUUAUUAUCUAUUUUAACAUGUUUGAUUUGAGUUUUAUGCUUUUGACAUCAAGUAUGAAGUUUUAAAUCCUAUUUGCUGGGAUAAUUAUAUUAAGUUAAUGAGAUUUAUUUAAUUCAUGUUUUCAA